This 1508-nucleotide ribosomal RNA is filed under the name Anaerolineales bacterium. RNAcentral describes it as "bacterial SSU rRNA". It matches the Rfam family "Bacterial small subunit ribosomal RNA". The record is from RNAcentral. Lineage: Bacteria; Bacillati; Chloroflexota; Anaerolineae; Anaerolineales.
UAUGGAGAGUUUGAUCGUGGCUCAGGAUGAACGCUGGCGGCGUGCCUAAUACAUGCAAGUCGAGCGGGAACCUUGGAUUCGUCCGGGGGGAGAGCGGCGAACUGGUGAGUAAUACGUAGGUGACCUGCCCCGAAGAUGGGAAUAACCACCGGAAACGAUGGCUAAUACCCAAUGUGCUCGAUCGUUCAUUCGAUCGAGUAAAGCUCCGGCGCUUCGGGAUGGGCCUGCGGCCUAUCAGCUAGUUGGUGGGGUAAUGGCCUACCAAGGCGAAGACGGGUAGGGGGCGUGAGAGCGUGGUCCCCCACACUGGCACUGAGACACGGGCCAGACUCCUACGGGAGGCAGCAGUCGGGGAUAUUGCACAAUGGGCGAAAGCCCGAUGCAGCGACGCCGCGUGGGCGAUGAAGGCCUUCGGGUCGUAAAGCCCUUUUCUGGGAGAAGAGAUCAGGACGGUAUCCCAGGAAUAAGCGUCGGCUAACUACGUGCCAGCAGCCGCGGUAAAACGUAGGACGCAAGCGUUAUCCGGAUUUACUGGGCGUAAAGAGCGUUGAGGCGGUUCCGUAAGUUGGACGUGAAAGCCCCUGGCCUAACUGGGGGAGGUCGUUCAAUACUGCGGAGCUUGAGGACAGCAGAGGGAGGUGGAAUUCCCGGUGUAGUGGUGAAAUGCGUAGAUAUCGGGAGGAACACCUGUGGCGAAAGCGGCCUCCUGGGCUGCUCCUGACGCUGAAGGCGAAAGCUAGGGUAGCGAACGGGAUUAGAAACCCCGGUAGUCCUAGCCGUAAACGAUGGAUGCUAGGUGUGGGGGGUAUAGACUCCCUCCGUGCCGUAGCUAACGCGUUAAGCAUCCCGCCUGGAUACUACGGCCGCAAGGCUAAAAACCAAACGAAUUGACGGGGGCCCGCACAAGCAGCGGAGCGUGUGGUUUAAUUCGAUGCUACACGAAGAACCUUACCUGGGCUUGACAUGCAGGUAGUAGUGAAGCGAAAGCGGAACGACCCUUCGGGGAGCCUGCACAGGUGCUGCAUGGCUGUCGUCAGCUCGUGCCGUGAGGUGUCGGGUUAAGUCCCGUAACGAGCGCAACCCCUGUCCUUAGUUACAAGUGUCUAAGGGGACUGCCGGCGGCAAGCCGGAGGAAGGUGGGGACGACGUCAAGUCAGCAUGGCCCAUAUAUCCAGGGCUACACACACGCUACAAUGGCCAGUACAACGGGCAGCGAAACCGCGAGGUGGAGCGAAUCUCAGCAAAGCUGGUCAUAGUUCGAAUUGCAGGCUGCAACUCGCCUGCAUGAAGCUGGAGUUGCUAGUAACCGCGCGUCAGCUAUAGUGCGGUGAAUACGUUCCCGGGGCUUGUACACACCGCCCGUCACGUCAUGGGAGUCGGUAACGCCUGAAGCUGGUAGCCUAGCUCGCAAGAGGGGGCGCCAUCGAAGGCGGGGCUGGCGACUGGGACGAAGUCGUAACAAGGUAGCGGUACCGGAAGGUGCGGCUGGAUCACCUCCUUUCUAAGGA